This 393-nucleotide long non-coding RNA is filed under the name Numida meleagris (helmeted guineafowl). RNAcentral describes it as "lncRNA (ENSNMEG00000018823.1)". Lineage: Eukaryota; Metazoa; Chordata; Aves; Galliformes; Numididae. The record is from RNAcentral.
AUGAGAGACAGAAAAUCAUCUUCGCAGUGGAGAACUGAGGCACAAACUCAUUAUGUGCCAAAACCCUGCCUGUCCCCAGAUGUUAUGUGCCAGAAGAUUGCCUCAAUCUACCACUCAUGUUUUACCAGAGCGCUCUACAGCCUGUCUGGGAUGGGAGAGCAGGAGAGAUGUUCCCAGAAAACAGCGGCACAAGCUCUGGUGGCCCUGGAAGGACUUCUGCUGACAGUGCUUCCAAACUUUCAGUGUGCAUCUCUAGAAACAGAGGGAGAGAGAAGCAGCACUUCCAGAUGGGAAGAUAUACUGGAAAUGUGGAGUGUCCAUCUGAAAAGAGACACCUGGACUUAUAGCCAUGAGGACAAAAGGAAUGAACGAGCUGCCUUCAGAUUAUGCUAA